Molecule: long non-coding RNA, 1395 nt
Organism: Brassica oleracea var. oleracea
Lineage: Eukaryota; Viridiplantae; Streptophyta; Magnoliopsida; Brassicales; Brassicaceae
Exons: 5
Source: RefSeq, a predicted model, not a curated record
CCAGGAAUUACUAAACAUGAUAAAGAACCAAUUUGAAACCCAAGUUAAAAUGAAAGGAGAGCCCGUGCCAAAAGGAGAGAGGCCCAAUAAUGAUGGAGAAACGGUGGGGAGAGUGACGCUACGAUCGGUGAAGCAAUCAAGAGAACCAGAGUUGCAACAUCUUUGAAGAGAGGGAGGGGUUAGAGUGUCGGAAGCUUUGGAUCCUAUUUCUAAUUUGGAGACCUGAAGGUGUUGAAAAGAAGCCGCUGAUUUCUCUCCCUCCAGAUCCAAGACAACACCGACUUCCAUGCAAGCGGAGUAAGGAGCUUUGACGAUUUUGGUGGUGGAAGAUUGAUCAUCUAAUUGAGAAGAUCUGACCAGUUACAGAGCGGUUGGAGCCGACACUUAGCAGCUACGAGCGACCAAAGAGCAAAGCUAAAAGGGCACUCCAAAUAUAAGUGGUUUCAAAGAAGGCAGAGAUGGCUGACUUGAAGUCCCCAACUGAUAAGACGGUCACGGGUUGGAUUACGAUCAAGCACAACCAACCAAGAAUGAAACGACUGCCUCGGAAUGCUUUUUGAUGACCAAACAGCCGGCGCCCAGUUGACUGUAUCUAUGUUCCCUCGGAGGUAGUGUGAUAUACCUUCCAUGUCUCGAAUUUCUGCAUUAUCUUCCCUUCCAUCUCCCAGAGGAGGAAGUCUCCAAGCUCCAUUCCUAUAUAACGAGGCGACCGUUGCAUUCGCGGGGAUUCCAAACCUAGAAUUGGAAGCAUGGAGAUAAUCAUGAAGGCAGCCAAACGGGCUCCAAUUGUCAUACCAGAAUCUAGCAGUGGCUCCAUUCUGUAAUUGAAGGCGGAUCAGAGGGAUACCCAGACAGAGUCAGGCCGAAAGAAGAUCAUCCAUAUUAACCGCAAGCAACAUGACUUGUUCCAAGUUAGCCGGUCUUUCACUCCAAGUCCACCUUGUUCUUUCGUUAAGGCCUUAGGGAGGAGAAAGAGGAGCACCAAAACUGAUAGGGACUUAACUGACCAUGAGUUUAACUUUAAUUUCACUUGUUGCAGCAAUGUAUCACAGCCAGCUAAAGAAAGCUUCCUUGAGUUAAGUGGAACACCAAGAUACCGAAAGGGACGUUUACAAUAUACGGAAUAUUAACGAAGUUGAGCGAGGAACAAGUGAGAAAGCUAUGGAUUAGGAAUUGAGUAUUCUUACUGAUGGAAUAUUGCCUGAGAAAAUUGAUGAGAAAUAUUUCAAAAACUAACAACGAGAGCUGAAAUUAUAUCUGACUCAUUUUAAGUUAGAUAACUACCUAAGUGAGGAUAUAGACCAGUUAUUUAUGUUGGAAAUAUUGAUUUAUUCAUUUUAGCAAGUGUUGACGCCAAGAUCAAUGGUGAUUAUAUGUGUAAGGAAUUGGUAUUAG